Molecule: long non-coding RNA, 1016 nt
Organism: Syzygium oleosum
Lineage: Eukaryota; Viridiplantae; Streptophyta; Magnoliopsida; Myrtales; Myrtaceae
Exons: 2
Source: RefSeq, a predicted model, not a curated record
GUCAUGUUCCCUAUAGUACGUAUUAGUUUUGAAUUCCUGUAGUGAUAAUGUCAUUUCCUUUUGCUUCUUUCAUCAAAACAUUCCAGUUCAGUCACCAGAAUGUAGGAAAUUCAGGGUUAGAGAUUUUUCACUUCUGGACAUUCUGAGUGAUUUGGAAGGUCAUAAUGUGCUUCAUAGAGGAAGGAACUUAAUUUGGCCAAGUAAACCGACUUUGAGGGAAGAAAAAAGGGAGAUUUUACACUACUUGGACUACUAUAUAGACUCAUGAUGUCUUGCAGAUAGGAAACAUGAGUUUGCUGCACCUUUGUUUGUGAAACAGGCAAAGCCAAUGUUAAGAAAAAGAUUUUAUCUGAUGACAUCUGCAUUUUCUCAUCCUUGAAUACUGGCUAAAAAGGACCUUAUUUUCAUGUAGGAGGAGGCUAAAAUGGAAGGGGAUGCCAAAGAGCCCAAGACCGAGUUUCAGCUUCAGUUCCAUCCAUCUGCAAGUUCUCGGGAUCAUGAAAUUAGCGAAGAGCCUCCCAUUGGCCAUGUCAAUGACCAGCAAAACCAGAUCAAAGAGCAAGACUCGAUCCUUAUAAGUCUAGAUACACUUGCUCCACCAAGAACAUUUUCUGAUAGGUUCAAGACAUGCUUAGUGAGAAUAUUGGAAUGUAUCUGCAACCGCGACUUUCCUAGCUUUAAAGCUGAAAUUCUUUGAAGGUCGGAACAGAAGCAGCAUAUGAAGGAUAAUUCAGAAUUCGUGGAGAUGGAAAGACCAAGUCAAGUCUCGUCAUUUUGGUUGAUUGAAGAGCUAAGUGAUGGCAUCAAAAGAUAACUUUCAGACUCCUCUUGAUCAACCUCAAAGGCUACUACAGUCAAGGGACAAGUUUUCCGGAAAAAAGAACUCUAUGUUGCAUAGGAUUUUCCUCUGUGUUGGGUAUUCACUAUUCAUUUUCCAUUUGACCGUGGUAAGUCUAUCUCCUAGUGGAGUACAAAUUGAUUUCCAUGCGGCUCAACUAACAAAGUAUUUUCCAAUA